RNAcentral lists this transfer RNA (86 nucleotides) under Swingsia samuiensis. RNAcentral's name for it is "tRNA-Leu". It matches the Rfam family "tRNA". From Rfam's summary of the family: Transfer RNA (tRNA) molecules are approximately 80 nucleotides in length. Their secondary structure includes four short double-helical elements and three loops (D, anti-codon, and T loops). The record is from RNAcentral. Lineage: Bacteria; Pseudomonadati; Pseudomonadota; Alphaproteobacteria; Acetobacterales; Acetobacteraceae.
GCGAGAGUGGCGGAAUGGUAGACGCAGUCGGCUCAAAAUCGACCGCCUUAACAGGCAUGGGGGUUCAAGUCCCCCCUCUCGCACCA